RNAcentral lists this transfer RNA (75 nucleotides) under marine sediment metagenome. Its description in RNAcentral is "tRNA-Gln". It matches the Rfam family "tRNA". From Rfam's summary of the family: Transfer RNA (tRNA) molecules are approximately 80 nucleotides in length. Their secondary structure includes four short double-helical elements and three loops (D, anti-codon, and T loops). The record is from RNAcentral.
UGGCUUAUGGUGUAGUUGGUAACACACGAGAUUUUGAUUCUCGAAUCCAGGGUUCGAACCCUUGUAGGCCAGCCA